Molecule: ribosomal RNA, 288 nt
Filed under: uncultured bacterium
Lineage: Bacteria
Description: partial 16S ribosomal RNA
Rfam family: Bacterial small subunit ribosomal RNA
Source: RNAcentral
GAUGAACGCUAGCGACGUGCCUAAGGUAUGCAAGUCGAACGAUAAGCCAUCUUCGGAUGGUGGACAGUGGCAGACGGCUGAGUAACGCGUAGGAAUCUCCCCCAAACUCGAGGAUAGCUCACCGAAAGGUGUGGUAAUACUCGAUAGUCUCGCAAGAGUAAAGCUCCGGCGGUUUGGGAUGAGCCUGCGUCCUAUCAGGUUGUUGGUGGGGUAAUUGCCUACCAAGCCUAUGACGGGUAGCUGGUCUGAGAGGAUGUCCAGCCAGACUGGGACUGCGACACGGCCCAG